Molecule: long non-coding RNA, 1351 nt
Organism: Oryza sativa Japonica Group (Japanese rice)
Lineage: Eukaryota; Viridiplantae; Streptophyta; Magnoliopsida; Poales; Poaceae
Source: RefSeq, a predicted model, not a curated record
GGGGGGGGGGGGGUGGGGGGGCGGAGCGCGGCGGAGAGGAGGGUUCGUGCGACGGGGAGCGGUCGGAGGCCGGCGAGGAAGAAGGCCCUCUCCCGGAGCGCACGGGAGAAUCGCGCCUUGACUAGCCUCUUCGCCUCCAUCCCACUGCUGCGCAUGUCGGCGGCGGCGGCGGCAGCAGGUCACGAAGGCAGCGAGGAUGGAGUCGGCGGACGGGGAGGACGGGGAGAAGCGCGGCGGCGGCGCUCGGUGGCGAAGAUGGGCGGCAGCUGGGGGAGAUGGAGCAGCCAUCUUGUGGCUCUGGGCCUCUGGCGUAGACUCACCAUGUGCAUCAGUUUGGUCAUCUUGUUCGUCUUUGUUUGAUGGUGAUGGAUCAUCCCCUUCAAUCAAGUAUCCCUCCUCAUUUGUAGUCUCGUUUAUUGAGUAGCCCCUUUCAGCUGGAUCAGCAGUGCCAAGAUUUGCUAAACCUGACGCUAGGCCUGAAAUAGGAGUAUCAGCAGAUUCCCCUGUAUCCAUAGACAGAAUCUCAUCACCAGUAUCAAACAGGCCUUCUCUAACCAAAGAAGAAUAGAUGUCAUGAGGAUUGGCAUCUGCACUUUGCAAGCUUGCAAAAAGUCCUGUCUGUUCAGAGUUAUCUUCUUGUGCUGAUCUUCCACUCGGUUACAUAUCUCAGACAGUGAAAUUGGAAGCUCUGGGCAUUCCAGCAUACAGAUCAUUUUCUUUGGUUGAGCUCGAAGCGGCGACUAAUGACUUCGAAGUUGAUGGGGAGAGGCGGGGAACGCGGCGGAGACACUGAAGUUGAUGUGGCCCUCCCGGGCGAGGAACCCGUGCGCCGCGGCGACAAGGUUGUCGUAGCUGGCGGCGACGGUCUCCUGCACGCGCGCGUGGGGAAGCGGCACUUGCGUGUCUCCGCCGCCGCCCUCCCCUUCUCCCACGUUGCAGCUGCCACCGCCUCUCCGCCAGCGCGCUCGCCCGCCAACGCCGCCUCGCCCUACCGACGCCCUCCCCUUCUCCCGUGUCUCCGCCACCGCGUCGCCGCCGCCGCCACAUCACCGGCCGGCUGUCGGACCUCCUCGCCUCGGCGACCUCCUCCCCACCACCGGCUGGCCUGCCAGAGAGAAGAGUGAGUGAGAGAGAGAGAGAGAGAGGAGGAAGGGACAGGCCGGCCUGCUGAUGUGGCUUGCUGACGUGGCAUUCUGACAUAUAAGGCCCACACUGACUCAGUCGCCACGUCGGAUCUAGUUUUUACUGGUUUAUAAGUUAGGGGGUGUGUUAUAUCUGGUUUUUCGGUUGGUGGAUGAUUUUGUAACUGGAUGACAAGUUGAGGGACCUUCGGUGUACUUUUUCCUUUCUA